This 278-nucleotide long non-coding RNA is filed under the name Lupinus angustifolius (narrow-leaved blue lupine). Its description in RNAcentral is "long non-coding RNA (LANG_LNC000760)". Lineage: Eukaryota; Viridiplantae; Streptophyta; Magnoliopsida; Fabales; Fabaceae. The record is from RNAcentral.
UCCUCGAUGAUGCAUUUGUCAGAGUAGAAAGCCACAUGGAAUCCCUUGUCACAUAGCUGACUGAUAAUCAACAGGUUGUGCUUGAGUCCCUCAACAUAUAGAUUUCCUUCUAUGGCAUUAGAAGGUGGAUUUUCAACACGACCUACUCCAAGAAUUUUUCCUCUAUUAUUUUCCCUAUAUGUGACAUAGCCUUUGUAUCUUGGAGUUAGGACAAAGAAAUUGAUUUUGCCACUAGUCAUUUGCUUUGAGUUGUCGUUAUCCAAGUACCAUAAAUCACU